Molecule: ribosomal RNA, 497 nt
Filed under: uncultured bacterium
Lineage: Bacteria
Description: partial 16S ribosomal RNA
Rfam family: Bacterial small subunit ribosomal RNA
Source: RNAcentral
GAUGAACGCUGGCGGCGUGCCUAAUACAUGCAAGUCGAGCGAACGGACGAGAAUCUUGCUUCUCUGAUGUUAGCGGCGGACGGGUGAGUAACACGUGGAUAACCUACCUAUAAGACUGGGAUAACUUCGGGAAACCGGAGCUAAUACCGGAUAAUAUUUUGAACCGCAUGGUUCAAAAGUGAAAGACGGUCCUGCUGUCACUUAUAGAUGGAUCCGCGCUGCAUUAGCUAGUUGGUAAGGUAACGGCUUACCAAGGCAACGAUGCAUAGCCGACCUGAGAGGGUGAUCGGCCACACUGGAACUGAGACACGGUCCAGACUCCUACGGGAGGCAGCAGUAGGGAAUCUUCCGCAAUGGGCGAAAGCCUGACGGAGCAACGCCGCGUGAGUGAUGAAGGUCUUCGGAUCGUAAAACUCUGUUAGUAGGGAAGAACAUAUGUGUAAGUAACUGUGCACAUCUUGACGGUACCUAAUCAGAAAGCCCCGGCUAACUACGUG